AAAACAAACCUACGGGAGGCAGCAGUGGGGAAUAUUGGACAAUGGGCGCAAGCCUGAUCCAGCCAUGCCGCGUGAGUGAUGAAGGCCUUAGGGUUGUAAAGCUCUUUCACCGGAGAAGAUAAUGACGGUAUCCGGAGAAGAAGCCCCGGCUAACUUCGUGCCAGCAGCCGCGGUAAUACGAAGGGGGCUAGCGUUGUUCGGAAUUACUGGGCGUAAAGCGCACGUAGGCGGAUAUUUAAGUCAGGGGUGAAAUCCCAGAGCUCAACUCUGGAACUGCCUUUGAUACUGGGUAUCUUGAGUAUGGAAGAGGUAAGUGGAAUUCCGAGUGUAGAGGUGAAAU
RNAcentral lists this ribosomal RNA (340 nucleotides) under uncultured bacterium. Its description in RNAcentral is "bacterial SSU rRNA". It matches the Rfam family "Bacterial small subunit ribosomal RNA", at positions 328 to 687 of the family's 1533-position model. The record is from RNAcentral.